RNAcentral lists this ribosomal RNA (56 nucleotides) under Fusarium solani. RNAcentral describes it as "partial 28S ribosomal RNA". Lineage: Eukaryota; Fungi; Ascomycota; Sordariomycetes; Hypocreales; Nectriaceae. The record is from RNAcentral.
UGUUGACCUCGAAUCAGGUAGGAAUACCCGCUGAACUUAAGCAUAUCAAUAAGCGG